UUCGGGCUCCAAGCCAGAGCCUUCACAGUCCUCUUUCUGUCCCUUUCCCUGCGAGCGAGUGGCAGCCAGGGGAGUUAUGCGUUGCUGCAACGCGCCGCGGAGAGCAGCAGCGGGCCGGGCACAGCUGGCCCAACAAACGUUCUUCUGAGCUUCGCGUCCUUCGCUCCGAGUUCUGGCUCAGCUCCUGGAACUAGCUGGGUGCCAGCGGCGUUCCGGAGAGUCCAGCCAGCUCCAGGCGUCUGGGCGCUUCGAGUCUUUGAUCUUCAGAACCUGGCAGCCUCUGCUGCUCCACUCUCCUCCCGGAAACCACCCAAAAGAUUAACUUCUGAAGCCCUCAGGGCAGAGGGAGGAGAAAGGGUGGGAAAAGGCGCACCGACCAGCCAUUGGGAAGGCUGCAGAGGAGGGAGGCCAGGCUCCCGAGGGCAGCGUCACGCUACGCUCCGUACUCAGCGUCCCUUGUAGGGCCUGACACCUCUAUGAACCUGGGAUCAUGAAUGAAUUCUUGACUCUUAGAGGGUAUGGAGAAGCAAGAAGGAAGGAGAUGAGAUAGGCGAGGAGGGAAGCGGGGCUAUUCUUAAGGUUAAACUGAAAGCGAGCUUUUUAUUGAAUCUAAGAAUAUCUGAGAAGAAAAACGAAAAGAAAGAAAAGAAAAGCAAGCAGACACGGAGGGACCAGAUGGAACCAACUAAGCUGGCUUCUUGCAAGACUCAGGUGGCCCACUGUGGUGCAAGAAACGGAUGGCAUUUUGAUCUUGCCCCAUUCAGGUUGGGGAGUGAAGUGCAGGGGCCUUUUGCCCCCUUGCUAUGAAAGAACAGAUUCACUGACUACCAUACAUUGCUGUUCUGAAAGCAGGCUGCACAUGACCUCCAGGACCUUAGUGCUUUGCUUCCAGGCCAAGACUGCAGGAGUCAAAUCUGGCUGGCUUUGCCAAAGUACAGGUGUAUGUAGUUCAGGACACUUGAUUUACAUUUGGAGGGGCUGGGGCAGGUGGAGAGGGCAAGAAAGAAGUAAAGAAGAUGGUGAUGUCAGGGGUGUCUCUUCCCAAAUAUGUAAAUAUACCCAAUAAGUUUAAAUAAGAAAUCUAAUUGCUGCUUAAUUUUUGAUCAUGUACUUUAUCUGUAUAGCAAGCUUUGUUGUCCGAAGUUUUUUUUAUCGAUUUAAAUUGCUGCCUUUGAACAGCCAGGCAGGAGCAAAAUGUUAAAUUUUUAAACUUACUUUGUCUAAUUGUCAUUUGUUAGUCGGUAGUAGAUGUGAAAAUUUAAUUUAUGAAUCCAUGAUCAUCCAUACUACACCAAAGGCAGUCUCUGGAGCACUUAUGGCAAGGUGGCCCCUUUGUGUGCACUGGGUAUAGUUGUCUUCUUUAUCAUGUUAUUUUCAAUAUUAAAUACCUAAGCUGCCAUAUGAGUUUUUAUCUUUACAGUUUUCAAGGAAGAGCACAGAAAAAUUUCCCAUUUCAUAUUCAUAGUAUGUAAGUGGGUUCUAUUUUGUAAUGCUGAAAAUACUUAACAGUGCAUUGAACACUUGGAAGGGAAAUACUUUUUGGUGUUGAUUCUGUUAAUGACUCAGAAGAACAGUACACACCCUUGUGGAUUUUUUUUCCUCAGGUCUGAGUAGCAUUGCCUUAAAUCUUACCCAAUUAGAAAGUCACUUUAUUUAAUGUGAUGUUCAAAUUUUCCACCAAAAAAUCCUUCCAAACAAAAGACAUACUUCUUCUCCAAAAGUGUUCUGUGCUAUCGCAAAUACUCCUUGAGAUUUUAAAGGAAUUUCCAUGUUGUACCCUUUAGUGGCAGCCUUGACUGUUGGCAUAGCCAUCUGUUAUGUAGUGGUAGGCAACUUUCCUGCCAUGCAGGACUCCCUCCUGUGAAGUGUAUGUUUUAUACAGUGUGUGCCUCUUCAUGUGGCGAAUAAUUUCUUGUUAAUGUAUGUUUGAGGGGCUUUGAAUGUCAGCAUUAUUUACCCACAGAGUUAUUCAAGUUGUAAAAGGUUAUACAAUAAUUUAACAACUACUUUUUUUAUUCUGUCAGGUUACUGAGCUCACUUUACGAAAGUGGCUGUAAGUACUUAGCAUGACAAAUUCUGUAACUCAUCUGUUUCAGCAUGCAUUAGGGAAACUGAUAAUGCUUGAGUCCACUAAAUCUGCCUUCAGUACUUUAUCAAAGAGGAACCAAGCCUGCUGUGCUUAUAUCAGCAUCUCGAAGAUUCUUUGGUCCUCCAAUCAGUGUACACAUCUCCACACAAAGAAGAGAAAACCAUCUCUGCUCAGAUACCUAUCGGAUGGAGACACCUGAGUGAACUUUGAUGAAGUACAGUCUGAGUUACCAUCAUGCACGAGUAGAACUGCUCUUGGACCUGUCUUUCUGUCAUUUGCAGAACCUACAUGUUUGAUUGACUUGAACGUUGCAUCUUUUGAGGCUAUUUUGUAAGGUCUCUUGGCAUUUAUCCUAGUUGUCUGUUUGGCAAUGUGCUGUUGAAGUAAGAGACUUUUAAUCUUUAUGUAUAUUUUGUUUUCCCUUGAGAUAUUAUAGUGGUUUCUUUUAGGAAAAUCUGUCAUUAAAAUUAUAGCCUUGCAAAUAACCAAUGACCAUAUUGAGUCACGGCUUAUUCUAGUGAGAAUAAAUAAAUAAAUAAAAAUAAAAAUAAAAAUAAACUCUUCCUGGGACUUUAGCUCCAUGGCUAGAUCUAGUAUUUGUGCCCAGAGUUCCUGAUGUAGGCUAAAGAGGUUUUCAUGCUUUUGAAAGUAGUCACAAUCACAAUUACAAAAGUAAUGUUGCAUAUUACUGCUAUAAUUAAUGGAAAUUCCUACUUUUCUCACUUUUGGGGAUAAAUUCCUCCUUUCUGUUCACAUAUCACACCACAUGGGGGCGAACUUGUUUCUCAUUUCCUCUCCUGCAUUUCUGCAGCAGGAAUUAUUUUUCUAUUCUUUAGAGCACAUUAUUUAAGAUUGCAAUUAUUUUUCUUCCUUGAAUGUUCUGUAGAACUGUCCGCCAAACCAUCUGAACUUGGAAUUUUCUUUGUAGAAAAUUCUUUUGACUAUUGAUUGGAAAACUUAAUUAUGGAAAAAUGUUUUCCUAGGAAUUUGUCCUUAUUUUCAAAUUCAUUGGGAUAUAGGAAUGUUUAUCCUAUUGUCUGUUUUAAUGACUGCAGUAUCUAUAACAAAGUUUUCUUUUUUAUCUCCG
Long non-coding RNA from Heterocephalus glaber (naked mole-rat), 3176 nucleotides. NCBI's taxonomy places the organism in Eukaryota, Metazoa, Chordata, Mammalia, Rodentia, Bathyergidae. The record is from Ensembl.